Molecule: transfer RNA, 73 nt
Filed under: Niveomyces insectorum
Lineage: Eukaryota; Fungi; Ascomycota; Sordariomycetes; Hypocreales; Cordycipitaceae
Description: Sporothrix insectorum tRNA-Pro
Source: RNAcentral
CGGAAUGGAGCCAAAUUGGUGAGGUGCUGUGCCUGGGCCACAGAGAUACAAAGUUCGAAACUUUGCAUUCCGA